UGUUAAAAUUUUCAUCUAUUUCUACUAUUAAAAACCGGUGUGACUGACAAAAUAACUAGACAAAUAUAUGUGACGUGUCAUAUGUACCAUAUUAACGUAUAGAAACCAAUUUUUAACGGUAAGAAUAGAUGAAAUUUUUAAUA
Molecule: non-coding RNA, 143 nt
Organism: Gossypium arboreum
Lineage: Eukaryota; Viridiplantae; Streptophyta; Magnoliopsida; Malvales; Malvaceae
Source: Rfam